AUGGGAAACGUGCAAACAGACUCAGGGCAAGUCAAGGGCCAGAAGCGGUCCCUGUCCCCAUCCCUCCUUCUCACCGGAGCCCUGGCCUCACAUACUCUCUUGCCUUGUGUCUCUGUGUCUCUGCUCUGCAGCCAGAACCAACCUUGGCCUUCUCAUCCCAGCUUCCUCCUCUGCUGGGACCUCAGAGACGGUGCAAGUUGGUCUGCGAGCCCAUGUGCAAAAUUAUCGCUGACACCACCCCACGCCCCUUCAGCCGGACCCCAGGAGCAAGCCAGGAAACUAACUGACAGUCUUCGAAGAUAUAUCAUGUUGAGCUCAUGGCUUGGCCCACCUCUGACCCGCCACCGGGUCCUCUGAAGGAGCACAUUGUGAUAGAUGAGAAGGGUGGGUGUGUUACAUGACAUGCCCUAAAUGGACUUUGGUAGGUGUGGCAGGUUGAACUGUGUCCCUAGAAAGACCUGUACCAGUUCUAACCCUCAGUACUGUGACUGUGACCUUCUUUGGAAAUAGGGCCUUUGCAGAUAUAAUUGAGGAUCUCCGGAUGAGUUCAUCCUGGAUUUAACCCAAUAAGAAGAGUUUUAAGACACAGAGAAACAGGGGAGAAGGCCUUGCAAGGAUGGAGGCAAAGACUGGAAUUAUGCUGCCGCCAGCCAAGGAACUUCAAGAGCCAAUAGAAGCUGGAGGAGGCAAGGAAGGAUUCUCCCUGAAAGCCUUUGGAGAACGCAUGGCCCUGCUGACACUGUGACUUCUGACUUGUGGACUCUGAGAAUAAACUUCUAUCGUUUUAAGUCACCAGGUUUGUGCUAAUUUGUUACAGCAGUCCUAGGAAAUACACGUAAGAACUACAAAAAUUACAGUUCCAAAGAUAAUACCUCCAAUAUCUGAACCCUGCUCUGGCCAUGUGUCAGAAGUUCAUUUUAACCGCUGAUCUCAGGCAAAGGGGCAAAGCUGCAAUGAAUCUGAAAUCCAGUCUCCAAACAGCUUUGCUAACUACCCUCACAGAUGCUUUGCAAAGUAGAUCUUUAUCUUAAGAACAUUAUAGGUGUUUUUGACCAAAUGCAGGCCAUAACCAAAAAUAUACAAAUUCGGAUGAAUCCCAAGAAAAAAUUCUUGCCUAUAAAAAUUGGAUUUGUAUCUCAAAAUACUUUGACCUCAUAAGGGGCCUUGGCUGAACAUUCGUCCUUGAUGCUCACCUACUGCCUAUUACCAUUUUGUAAAAGUAUCUAGUGGUUUAUUUAAUUGUGAAGAUUGCCAGAAGAUGUAUUUCAAUAUUUUUUAAAGUAUCUUAAAAUAACAUAAAGGCCUAAUUCAUCUGGCAUUGGCAAAUAUGACUUGGAAAAUCAAUUCCAUAUAUUUUUAGACCAUACUACCAGACAAUUUGGUCAUAUCCAUACAUGUAAUUAGAAGAGCUGGAAAAUGGGGCACUCUCUAGCAGUAUAAAUUGAAAACUUUGAAAAUGUUCCACAAAAUGCUAGAAAAGGAAAAAUCAUUUUAUACAUGGCUGAUGAGAGAGAAUCGAUUAGAAAACAAAACCAAAAUAAGCGUGUUUAAGAUGCUGAAGGUGAUAUUAAUGUUCUGACUUUAUAAAUAUUAAAAACAUUGUUAUAGGGACUUCCCUGGUGGCGCAGUGAGUUAAGACUCUGCGCUCCCAAUGCAGGGAGCCUGGGUUCAAUCCCUGGUCAGGAAACUAGAUCCCACAUGCAUGCCACAACCAAGAGUUCACAUGCCACAACUAAGGAGCCUGCCUGCUGCAACUAAGACCUGGUGCAACCAAAUAAGUAAGUAAAUAACUAUUAAAGAAAAAAAAAGUGCUUCAAAGAAGUACAGGGAAUGCGAGUGUGUCUGAGAUGAUCUGACUUGACUGGUGGGGGUGAGGAGGGAGGGUCAGGGAAGUGCUGUUUAAACUACACUCACAGGGAUGACUAGCAGUUAAGAGGUUGAGGGAGGAGUAGGGCCGCUCUGGGUGAGGGGUGGAAGGAAAAAAUAUUUCAGACGAAAUAAGCAGCACAUUGGAGACUCUGAGUCAGAUCUCUGUUGUUCUCCUUUUCCAUCUCCCUCUGUACCCAUGGGCUCUUCUCUGCGUCUUCAAACAAAAACCUAAACUUAAAUAUUUUUCUAGGUAGAAUGUGUUGUGGAGUUAUUCUUGAGCAGAAAGACCUUCCCCUUAUCCAAAUUAGUCUCUGUCUCCCUGCCUUGGAGUCAGUAACUUAAACAUCGCUUCUGAACAUGUAUUGAUUCCUAAGUUACCCUUAGUCACCUUCAUUUUAGCAUAAAUGAAUUUAGAUCCUUUCUUGAAAGAGGGAAUGGAUAUAAAAGGAUAUAAGAAUGGGGAAAAAAAUUUGACAUAAUCUAUCUUAUCACCAGAGUAUAGGAAAUCUAGAUGUCAUGUGCCUUUGUGUUCCUAUAGGUAAAUCUAGAUACCCUGGAAGGGGAAGAAGUGGGAACACACCAGUGACUACUCACCAUCUGAGAUGUGAGAACUCCAUGGAGAAAGACCAGAAGACUCACACGCUGCACCAUGCUGAGGUGCUGAAAGCACAAGUGAAACUUUUUAUUUAUAUAAAUAAACAUGUACGUGCGUAUCCAUAGAUGAUGUCUUGAUCAUUCAGACUUUCCUUCAUUUAUUAAACACCCACUGUGUACCAUGGGAGGUGGAGCACAGAGGUGCUGGAGCAGGUGAGACUUGAAAUACUGACUUUGACACUUGCUAGCUGUGUGACCUAGGGCAAGUUAUUUAACCUCUUCAUGCCUCAUUGUCCUCAUCUAUAAAAUGGAGAUAAUAUUAAAAGCUAUUUCGCGCUUCCUGGAUAGCACAGUGGUUAAGAAUCCGCCUGCCAAUGCAGGGGACACGGGGUCGAGCCCUAGUCCGGGAAGAUCCCACAUGCUGCGGAGCAGCUAAGCCCCAGGCACCACAACUACUGAGCCU
This 2926-nucleotide long non-coding RNA is filed under the name Physeter macrocephalus (sperm whale). RNAcentral describes it as "Physeter catodon (sperm whale) lncRNA (ENSPCTG00005004777.1)". Lineage: Eukaryota; Metazoa; Chordata; Mammalia; Artiodactyla; Physeteridae. The record is from RNAcentral.